This 255-nucleotide ribosomal RNA is filed under the name uncultured bacterium. RNAcentral's name for it is "partial 16S ribosomal RNA". It matches the Rfam family "Bacterial small subunit ribosomal RNA", at positions 524 to 777 of the family's 1533-position model. The record is from RNAcentral.
UACGAAGGGGGCUAGCGUUGCUCGGAAUCACUGGGCGUAAAGCGCACGUAGGCGGCUUUUUAAGUCAGGGGUGAAAUCCUGGAGCUCAACUCCAGAACUGCCUUUGAUACUGAGAAGCUUGAGUCCGGGAGAGGUGAGUGGGAACUGCGAGUGUAGAGGUGAAAUUCGUAGAUAUUCGCAAGAACACCAGUGGCGAAGGCGGCUCACUGGCCCGGUACUGACGCUGAGGUGCGAAAGCGUGGGGAGCAAACAGGG